AGCUGUAGCCUUUCCAACAGAGCUCUGCCUGUGCAUACCUGCACUGGAAUGUUAUAGCUCC
Molecule: microRNA precursor, 61 nt
Filed under: Chlorocebus sabaeus (green monkey)
Lineage: Eukaryota; Metazoa; Chordata; Mammalia; Primates; Cercopithecidae
Description: miRNA (ENSCSAG00000021049.1)
Source: RNAcentral